This 467-nucleotide ribosomal RNA is filed under the name uncultured bacterium. RNAcentral describes it as "partial 16S ribosomal RNA". It matches the Rfam family "Bacterial small subunit ribosomal RNA", at positions 28 to 507 of the family's 1533-position model. The record is from RNAcentral.
GACGAACGCUGGCGGCGUGCUUAACACAUGCAAGUCGAACGGAAAGGCCCUGCUUUUGUGGGGUGCUCGAGUGGCGAACGGGUGAGUAACACGUGAGUAACCUGCCCUUGACUUGGGAUAACUUCAGGAAACUGGGGCUAAUACCGGAUAGGAGCUCCUGCUGCAUGGUGGGGGUUGGAAAGUUUCGGCGGUUGGGGAUGGACUCGCGGCUUAUCAGCUUGUUGGUGGGGUAGUGGCUUACCAAGGCUUUGACGGGUAGCCGGCCUGAGAGGGUGACCGGCCACAUUGGGACUGAGAUACGGCCCAGACUCCUACGGGAGGCAGCAGUGGGGAAUAUUGCACAAUGGGCGGAAGCCUGAUGCAGCAACGCCGCGUGCGGGAUGACGGCCUUCGGGUUGUAAACCGCUUUCGCCUGUGACGAAGCGUGAGUGACGGUAAUGGGUAAAGAAGCACCGGCUAACUACGUG